UACGCUAUGUUGGACUUAG
RNAcentral lists this small nuclear RNA (19 nucleotides) under Arabidopsis thaliana (thale cress). Its description in RNAcentral is "snRNA_06692". The record is from RNAcentral. Lineage: Eukaryota; Viridiplantae; Streptophyta; Magnoliopsida; Brassicales; Brassicaceae.